Molecule: ribosomal RNA, 351 nt
Filed under: uncultured Coriobacteriales bacterium
Lineage: Bacteria; Bacillati; Actinomycetota; Coriobacteriia; Coriobacteriales
Description: partial 16S ribosomal RNA
Source: RNAcentral
GGAGUUUGGACCGUGUCUCAGUUCCAAUGUGGCCGAUCACCCUCUCAGGUCGGCUACUGAUCGUCGCCUUGGUGGGCCGUUACCUCACCAACUAGCUAAUCAGACGCGAACUCACCCCAAACCGGAUCGCUCCUUUUACCCCUGAACCAUGCGGCUCCGUGGUCUUAUGCGGUAUUAGCACCUGUUUCCAAGUGUUAUCCCCCUGUCUGGGACAGAUCGUUCACGCGUUACUCACCCGUCGCCGCUGGAAUUAUCCCGAUUCCUGCCGAAGCUCUCCUCUGAAUAAUCCCCGCUCGACUUGCAUGUGUUAGGCACGCCGCCAGCGUCGUCCUGAGCCAUGAUCAAACUACU